RNAcentral lists this ribosomal RNA (312 nucleotides) under uncultured bacterium. RNAcentral's name for it is "partial 16S ribosomal RNA". It matches the Rfam family "Bacterial small subunit ribosomal RNA", at positions 356 to 660 of the family's 1533-position model. The record is from RNAcentral.
GGGGAAUAUUGCACAAUGGGCGCAAGCCUGAUGCAGCCAUGCCGCGUGUGUGAAGAAGGCCUUCGGGUUGUAAAGCACUUUCAGCGAGGAGGAAGGGUAGUGUGUUAAUAGCACAUUGCAUUGACGUUACUCGCAGAAGAAGCACCGGCUAACUCCGUGCCAGCAGCCGCGGUAAUACGGAGGGUGCAAGCGUUAAUCGGAAUUACUGGGCGUAAAGCGCACGCAGGCGGUUUGUUAAGUCAGAUGUGAAAUCCCCGCGCUUAACGUGGGAACUGCAUUUGAAACUGGCAAGCUAGAGUCUUGUGGAGGGGG